AUCCACGUGGCUGGCAAAGAGAAGGGAGCAUGAAGCUGUCAUUUUGAACAUGCCUAGUCCCAGAGAUGCAUGCGGGGAGAACUCUAUGUGAAGGUGAAGGCAGAGAUGCUUCAUUAAGCCAAGGAAUGCCAAAGGUGGCCAGCAAACCACCAGAAACCAGGCAAGAUGCAUGGAACAGAUUCUGUCUCGUAGCUCUCAGAAGGAACCAACCCUGCCAUCGCACAUUGAUUUUGGACUUCUGGCUUCCAGAACUGUGUGGGUUUGUCAUCCAGCGAGGAGAUGAGGAGAAAGUGCUGGGCCACUCCACUGGAGAAAUUGGAGACCUUUCUUCUGGCUGUGUCUAGGGAGCCAAGAGAGUGAGAGAAAACUCUUUGAGGAAUUGGAAAUGGAAGAAAAUAAUUCUAAAAUUUGUAUGGAACCACAAAGACUGCUAAUAGCCAAAGCUAGUUUGAACAAGAAGAACAAAUCUGGAGGCCUCACACUUUCUGAUUUCAAAAUAUAUUACAAAGCUACAGUAGUAGCAUAAAAACAGAUGCAUAAACCAAUGGGUAGAAUAGACAGCCCAG
This 566-nucleotide long non-coding RNA is filed under the name Homo sapiens (human). RNAcentral describes it as "novel transcript". The record is from RNAcentral. Lineage: Eukaryota; Metazoa; Chordata; Mammalia; Primates; Hominidae.